UUGAAGACACACACACACACACACAAAGUGAAGUAAACAAAAAACUACUGGAUCAUAGUUGACCACAAUCGAUGAAAAUUCGAUCUCGAUUUGUUUUCGCGGUUUUCUUCCAUCCAAAACACAAUGAAUAUUGUUUUAUUUUACAGAACAAGAAAAAAAAAUUUCUAAAUAAUCCAGACACAUUGGACAGAAUGUUUUUGUUUUAUUUAUUAUUAUUAUUACUUCUACACUAUUCUUCUUAGCUGUUUGUUAGAUGAUUCUUAUUUCUAUAAUUAUUAUCAUCAUCAUCAUCAUUUUGUGUCCUAAAGAGACAAACAAAGUUUUUUUUUUUUUUUGAUGGCGAUGACUCCUACGACUUUUUUUUGCAUCACACAUCAAAAAAACCACUUCUAUUUUGCCAUCGUUCACCAUAAAAUGGGGAACCGCCGCCCAGUAGCCACAGUAUAAAAUUGUUAAGAAGCAUCAUACGAACAUAUAAUAUUUACGACGAACUGAUAUUCUUUCCAUUCAUGUGUACCACCAAUUUUAUUUUUUUUUCAGUUACUGAACUAAUGAUGAUGAUGAUGAAAAUAAUAAUAAAAAAAAGAUAGAAACGAUGCGGUGACAAUUUUUAGCAUCAUUUACAUUCUUAUUAUUCAUUACAAGUUCAUCGUUCUUUGUAAUCGAAAACAUUCGUUUAACCAUUAUCAUUGGCGGAAGAAGAACAGAACAAUAACAACAUCGACAACAGCAGCAAAUCUUCGAGACAUUUUUAACGUUCAUUAUCGAUGAUUAUCGAUCGAAUUGAUCGAUAGAAAAAAAAACGGAAACUC
Non-coding RNA from Dermatophagoides farinae (American house dust mite), 812 nucleotides. The record is from RefSeq and is a predicted model, not a curated record. NCBI's taxonomy places the organism in Eukaryota, Metazoa, Arthropoda, Arachnida, Sarcoptiformes, Pyroglyphidae.